GAUGAACGCUGGCGGCGUGCCUAAUACAUGCUAGUCGAGCGAACAGAUCAGGAGCUUGCUCCUUUGACGUUAGCGGCGGACGGGUGAGUAACACGUGGGUAACCUAUCUAUAAGACUGGAAUAACUCCGGGAAACCGGGGCUAAUGCCGGAUAACAUGUUGAACCGCAUGGUUCUACAGUGAAAGGCGGCUUUGCUGCCACUCAUAGAUGGACCCGCGCAGUAUUAGCUAGUUGGUGAGGUAACGGCUCACCAAGGCAACGAUACGUAGCCGACCUGAGAGCGUGAUGGGCCACGCUGGAUCUGAGACACGUUCGAGACUCCUACGGGAUGCAGCAGCAGGGAAUCUUCCGCAAUGCGCGAAUGCCUGACGUUGCAACGCCGCGUGAGUGAUGAAGGUCUUCGGAUCGUAAAACUCUGUUAUGAGGGAAGAACAAAUGCGUAAGUAACUGUGCGCGUCUUGACGGUACCUAAUCAAAAAGCCGCGGCUAACUUCGUG
Molecule: ribosomal RNA, 497 nt
Filed under: uncultured bacterium
Lineage: Bacteria
Description: partial 16S ribosomal RNA
Rfam family: Bacterial small subunit ribosomal RNA
Source: RNAcentral